Molecule: RNA transcript, 862 nt
Organism: Solanum verrucosum
Lineage: Eukaryota; Viridiplantae; Streptophyta; Magnoliopsida; Solanales; Solanaceae
Exons: 4
Source: RefSeq, a predicted model, not a curated record
UUUUUGCCAAAUUUUGCUUUAUACGUCUGCCUCCUCUAUCUGAAUUGUCUCAUUCAUGCUUUUUCAUUGGGUUCCUCUGGAUAUAUUUUCUAUUUUAGUUUUGCAUGUGUUUGAACUAGAAGUUUGACGAUUUUGACGGAAAAUACAAGCUAAUUAGGGUAUUAUUACUUAGUUUUAGAAAUCGAGCUCAGGCGGCGGUGAUGUGAGUGGGGGAUGUUAUUUGCAGCUGAGCAGCAGGAGGCUGGAGAAACCCUUGGUGGGUUUUGAAAAGAAAAGACGGAAACACCCUUUGAAGGAAUCGAAAAGACAUAAUCGGAGUUUGAGGGUUAGGGAGAUGAACGGCAAUCUUGGAAUUAUGGGUCUGUUGAGGGUGAAGAGGAGAAGAAGGAAGAAGUUCAUGUACAGGAAAAUCAGAAGGAAAUUGACAACAAUGGCAGCUUUGAAGGUGAAAACUUGCUGGAAUUUAAUGGUACAGAGAGGAUUUGAAGAAGAAAGAUGAGUCCAACUAUGCAGGGGUUGCUAUUGAAGAGUAAUACAAAUGACAUUUACCUCAGAAAAUUACUAAAUAAUUAAGGAGUAUGCAUAAGAGCAAUUUCAAGUUUAUCACCCUUCUAUCAUUGAUUAAUUUGUAGGAACAACAUAUAGCAUUUCUCUGGGCACUGCAAAGAAAAUGCUUACAAAGAGUUGAAGAGUUUACGUUAUUUAUGACACAUUGUAUACUCCAGAAGUUGGGACACCACUAGAAUUUGAACGAUAGAUUGUAAAAUCAUAACGUUCCGAACAACUUCUUGAGCAUUUUUUUUUGUCCUGUAUAAGUUGUUUGAGUUGCUUUAAUGCUUGAGACUUUGUUUUACAUUUUUCA